Molecule: non-coding RNA, 69 nt
Organism: Rattus norvegicus (Norway rat)
Lineage: Eukaryota; Metazoa; Chordata; Mammalia; Rodentia; Muridae
Source: Rfam
GGGGAUUUAGCUCAGUGGUAGAGCGCUUGCCUAGCAAGUGCAAGGCCCUGGGUUCAGUUCCCAGCUCCG